Molecule: ribosomal RNA, 2159 nt
Filed under: Salmonella enterica subsp. enterica serovar Eastbourne
Lineage: Bacteria; Pseudomonadati; Pseudomonadota; Gammaproteobacteria; Enterobacterales; Enterobacteriaceae
Description: partial 23S ribosomal RNA
Rfam family: Bacterial large subunit ribosomal RNA
Source: RNAcentral
GAGCCGGAGGGAAACCGAGUCUUAAUUGGGCGUUAAGUUGCAGGGUAUAGACCCGAAACCCGGUGAUCUAGCCAUGGGCAGGUUGAAGGUUGGGUAACACUAACUGGAGGACCGAACCGACUAAUGUUGAAAAAUUAGCGGAUGACCUGUGGCUGGGGGUGAAAGGCCAAUCAAACCGGGAGAUAGCUGGUUCUCCCCGAAAGCUAUUUAGGUAGCGCCUCGUGAAUUCAUCUCCGGGGGUAGAGCACUGUUUCGGCUAGGGGGCCAUCCCGGCUUACCAACCCGAUGCAAACUGCGAAUACCGGAGAAUGUUAUCACGGGAGACACACGGCGGGUGCUAACGUCCGUCGUGAAGAGGGAAACAACCCAGACCGCCAGCUAAGGUCCCAAAGUCAUGGUUAAGUGGGAAACGAUGUGGGAAGGCCCAGACAGCCAGGAUGUUGGCUUAGAAGCAGCCAUCAUUUAAAGAAAGCGUAAUAGCUCACUGGUCGAGUCGGCCUGCGCGGAAGAUGUAACGGGGCUAAACCAUGCACCGAAGCUGCGGCAGCGACGCUGAUGCGUUGUUGGGUAGGGGAGCGUUCUGUAAGCCUGCGAAGGUGGCCUGUGAGGGUUGCUGGAGGUAUCAGAAGUGCGAAUGCUGACAUAAGUAACGAUAAAGCGGGUGAAAAGCCCGCUCGCCGGAAGACCAAGGGUUCCUGUCCAACGUUAAUCGGGGCAGGGUGAGUCGACCCCUAAGGCGAGGCCGAAAGGCGUAGUCGAUGGGAAACGGGUUAAUAUUCCCGUACUUGGUGUUACUGCGAAGGGGGGACGGAGAAGGCUAUGUUGGCCGGGCGACGGUUGUCCCGGUUUAAGCGUGUAGGUGUGUGUUCCAGGUAAAUCCGGUUCACUUUAACACUGAGGCGUGACGACGAGGCACUACGGUGCUGAAGCAACAAAUGCCCUGCUUCCAGGAAAAGCCUCUAAGCAUCAGGUAACAUCAAAUCGUACCCCAAACCGACACAGGUGGUCAGGUAGAGAAUACCAAGGCGCUUGAGAGAACUCGGGUGAAGGAACUAGGCAAAAUGGUGCCGUAACUUCGGGAGAAGGCACGCUGACACGUAGGUGAAGUGAUUUACUCAUGGAGCUGAAGUCAGUCGAAGAUACCAGCUGGCUGCAACUGUUUAUUAAAAACACAGCACUGUGCAAACACGAAAGUGGACGUAUACGGUGUGACGCCUGCCCGGUGCCGGAAGGUUAAUUGAUGGGGUCAGCGCAAGCGAAGCUCCUGAUCGAAGCCCCGGUAAACGGCGGCCGUAACUAUAACGGUCCUAAGGUAGCGAAAUUCCUUGUCGGGUAAGUUCCGACCUGCACGAAUGGCGUAAUGAUGGCCAGGCUGUCUCCACCCGAGACUCAGUGAAAUUGAACUCGCUGUGAAGAUGCAGUGUACCCGCGGCAAGACGGAAAGACCCCGUGAACCUUUACUAUAGCUUGACACUGAACAUUGAGCCUUGAUGUGUAGGAUAGGUGGGAGGCUUUGAAGUGUGGACGCCAGUCUGCAUGGAGCCGACCUUGAAAUACCACCCUUUAAUGUUUGAUGUUCUAACGUGGACCCGUGAUCCGGGUUGCGGACAGUGUCUGGUGGGUAGUUUGACUGGGGCGGUCUCCUCCUAAAGAGUAACGGAGGAGCACGAAGGUUGGCUAAUCCUGGUCGGACAUCAGGAGGUUAGUGCAAUGGCAUAAGCCAGCUUGACUGCGAGCGUGACGGCGCGAGCAGGUGCGAAAGCAGGUCAUAGUGAUCCGGUGGUUCUGAAUGGAAGGGCCAUCGCUCAACGGAUAAAAGGUACUCCGGGGAUAACAGGCUGAUACCGCCCAAGAGUUCAUAUCGACGGCGGUGUUUGGCACCUCGAUGUCGGCUCAUCACAUCCUGGGGCUGAAGUAGGUCCCAAGGGUAUGGCUGUUCGCCAUUUAAAGUGGUACGCGAGCUGGGUUUAGAACGUCGUGAGACAGUUCGGUCCCUAUCUGCCGUGGGCGCUGGAGAACUGAGGGGGGCUGCUCCUAGUACGAGAGGACCGGAGUGGACGCAUCACUGGUGUUCGGGUUGUCAUGCCAAUGGCACUGCCCGGUAGCUAAAUGCGGAAGAGAUAAGUGCUGAAAGCAUCUAAGCACGAAACUUGCCCCGA